Long non-coding RNA from Peromyscus maniculatus bairdii (prairie deer mouse), 1567 nucleotides. RefSeq lists it as uncharacterized. The record is from RefSeq and is a predicted model, not a curated record. Lineage: Eukaryota; Metazoa; Chordata; Mammalia; Rodentia; Cricetidae.
AGUUGUAAGAAAGACUCAACAAACAAGGGUUGGGGCAAGGUUCUGUUUUUUGUCUUUACAGGAUAAUAGAAACACCCAUUUUCAAAAAAUCAUAAGGCCUUGGAUACCGAGAUGUCUAUAGCAAAAGGAAUGAAUCUAUUGGUACCAAUAUACACAGGGUAAUAUCUCACUGCCUAACAUCUAUAUCUCUUUAACCCUAGAAAAAAAAGUUAUGGUUCCAAUUCAGUUAUAAAUCAAGCUGGCUUUGGAGUUGGAAUAUGGCUCUCUCCUUCUCUAAAUGCAAGCAUGUUGCUAGAAGAAAAAGUUAAGAGAUUCUGUCUCAUAUCAGAAGAGCUGCCUGGUGUGGGGCAGAAGAAAACCGACAAAAAGGGACCAUUGCUGUCAAGAUCCUAUUUCUUUCCAUGCUUGUCCUUGCUUUCGGCGGAUCCUUUCUCUAUCCAGAAUAAAUACAAACUUUCCAUUUUGAUAUUAAAAAUGUUCAAGUUUUCCACAUAAAAAAACACACUAAGUACUAGAUUCAGUUUCUUCAGGAUAGGACAGCUUUUGGAAUAAUCUCUCUAACAUACCAUUUACCUAUGUUCUGGACAUCUCUGGAUUUGAAUAUGUGUCUCUUGUUUGGUGUUCUUGUUGGCUGUAGUUCCAUUUUGCUUAGGUCAUUACCCAUUAUUUCUGCUGGACAAUACUUAAUAAUCAUUCCUAUUGUAUAUGGUUUUGUGUUAGGUUAGAACUUUCUUAUUUAAACAAAAGGGGGAGAUGUAGUGGAUGGUUGUUUGAGCCAUGCCCUGAAGCACAGCCCCUAGUGAGGUAGCAGGUAACUGUUACAUCUGUCUAUGACCUUGAGGUACAUGCCCCUUGGGUGUGGCCACUGGGGGACCCUUAACACCUGGAUGCAUGUACGCGAUCUCUCUUGGUUACCUCAUGGUUUGGGAUGCUGAGAUCUUGGACCAGGCAGAUCAGCAUGGGACAUAACUCAACUUUCCUGGACCUUACAAUAAAUCUCCUGUGGUUUGCCCAUGGAGGCCAGAAGAGAGCAUCACCUGGAACUGGAAUUACAGACCAUUGUGAGACGCCAUGUGCUGGGAAGUGAACUCCAGUCAUCUGAACAAGCAGUAGGUCCUCCAUGUUUGUGAUGGCUGAUUUUGGUUGUUGACUUCACUGCAUCUGGAAUCAACUAAACCUAAGCCGCUGGGCACUCCCCUGAGGGAUUUUCUUCAUCAGAUUAUUCGAAGCAAGAAAACCCACCCUGUCUGGGUGACACCUUCUGGUGGCAGCCCAGAAACAAGGACAUGGCCUUUGCCUGCCGCUCACCCUCACUCUUUCUGGCAAGUCCAUCUCUGCUGUUGAUUUGGCUUCUUCAGGAUUCUGAAACAGACUGAGGACCAGCAGCUCUCUGGGAAUCCUCCAGGCCUUCGGCACUAGAUCAGGACUGCUGAGACAUCGUCGAGACUUGAGGACAAAGCAACUACUGGAUGCUUGGCCUCUCCAGUGUGAGACAGACACUGUUGGGAUACUCAGAUCCAUUCUGAAAGCCAAUCCGGUAAAUCUCCUUAUGCUUAUUAAAAUAGCA